UACAGAGGGUGCGAGCGUUGUUCGGAAUUAUUGGGUGUAAAGCGCAUGUAGGCGGCCUGUUAAGUCGCGUGUGAAAGCUCCCGGCUCAACCGGGAAAGUGCGCGCGAAACUGACAGGCUUGAGUGCUGGAGAGGGUGGCGGAAUUCCCGGUGUAGAGGUGAAAUUCGUAGAUAUCGGGAGGAACACCAGAGGCGAAGGCGGCCACCUGGACAGACACUGACGCUGAGACGCGAAAGCGUGGGGAGCAAACAGG
RNAcentral lists this ribosomal RNA (253 nucleotides) under uncultured bacterium. Its description in RNAcentral is "partial 16S ribosomal RNA". It matches the Rfam family "Bacterial small subunit ribosomal RNA", at positions 524 to 776 of the family's 1533-position model. The record is from RNAcentral.